GAAAUGCGAUACUUGGUGUGAAUUGCAGAAUCCCGUGAACCAUCGAGUCUUUGAACGCAAGUUGCGCCCGAAGCCAUUAGGCCGAGGGCACGCCUGCCUGGGUGUCACACAUCGUUUCCCCAACGCAAACAUGUAACAAUGUUGCUGCGCGGGAGGUCAGCAUACACCCCGCGCAGCAACAUUGUUACAUGUUUGCGUUGGGGAAACGAUGUGUGACACC
RNAcentral lists this unclassified non-coding RNA (220 nucleotides) under uncultured fungus. Its description in RNAcentral is "sequence contains ITS1". The stretch from base 1 to 107 matches the Rfam family "5.8S ribosomal RNA", at positions 50 to 154 of the family's 154-position model. The record is from RNAcentral. Lineage: Eukaryota; Fungi.